This 376-nucleotide ribosomal RNA is filed under the name uncultured bacterium. Its description in RNAcentral is "bacterial SSU rRNA". It matches the Rfam family "Archaeal small subunit ribosomal RNA", at positions 477 to 853 of the family's 1478-position model. The record is from RNAcentral.
CAGCACCCCGAGUGGUCGGGACGAUUAUUGGGCCUAAAGCAUCCGUAGCCGGUUCUACAAGUCUUCCGUUAAAUCCAUCUGCUUAACAGAUGGGCUGCAGAGGAUACUAUAGAGCUAGGAGGCGGGAGAGGCAAGCGGUACUUAGUGGGUAGGGGUAAAAUCCGUUGAUCCACUGAAGACCACCAGUGGCGAAGGCGGCUUGCCAGAACGCGCUCGACGGUGAGGGAUGAAAGCUGGGGGAGCAAACCGGAUUAGAUACCCGGGUAGUCCCAGCUGUAAACGAUGCAGACUCGGUGAUGAAUAGGCUUCGUGCCUAUUCAGUGCCGCAGGGAAGCCGUUAAGUCUGCCGCCUGGGGAGUACGGUCGCAAGACUGAA